RNAcentral lists this ribosomal RNA (253 nucleotides) under uncultured bacterium. RNAcentral describes it as "partial 16S ribosomal RNA". It matches the Rfam family "Bacterial small subunit ribosomal RNA", at positions 524 to 776 of the family's 1533-position model. The record is from RNAcentral.
UACGUAGGGUGCAAGCGUUGUCCGGAAUUAUUGGGCGUAAAGAGCUCGUAGGCGGUUUGUCACGUCUGGUGUGAAAAUCCAGGGCUUAACCCUGGACCUGCAUCGGGUACGGGCAGACUAGAGUGCGGUAGGGGAGAUCGGAAUUCCUGGUGUAGCGGUGAAAUGCGCAGAUAUCAGGAGGAACACCGGUGGCGAAGGCGGAUCUCUGGGCCGUAACUGACGCUGAGGAGCGAAAGCAUGGGGAGCGAACAGG